Molecule: transfer RNA, 92 nt
Organism: Gloeophyllum trabeum ATCC 11539
Lineage: Eukaryota; Fungi; Basidiomycota; Agaricomycetes; Gloeophyllales; Gloeophyllaceae
Rfam family: tRNA
About the family: Transfer RNA (tRNA) molecules are approximately 80 nucleotides in length.
Source: Rfam
GACACUAUGGCCGAGUGGUUAAGGCGACAGACUCGAAUGACUUCGACAUCUGUUGGGCUCUGCCCGCGCAGGUUCAAAUCCUGCUGGUGUCG